RNAcentral lists this ribosomal RNA (242 nucleotides) under uncultured bacterium. RNAcentral's name for it is "partial 16S ribosomal RNA". It matches the Rfam family "Bacterial small subunit ribosomal RNA", at positions 1250 to 1500 of the family's 1533-position model. The record is from RNAcentral.
CUACCGGGCGACCGGAUGCGGAUCUCGAAAGCCUGUCCCAGUUCGGACUGGAGUCUGCAACCCGACUCCACGAAGUUGGAUUCGCUAGUAAUCGCGCAUCAGCCAUGGCGCGGUGAAUACGUUCCCGGGCCUUGUACACACCGCCCGUCAAGCCAUGGGAGCCGGGGGCGCCUGAAGUCCGGGACCGCGAGGACCGGCCUAGGGCGAAACUGGUAACUGGGGCUAAGUCGUAACAAGGUAUC